Molecule: transfer RNA, 69 nt
Filed under: Pila virens
Lineage: Eukaryota; Metazoa; Mollusca; Gastropoda; Architaenioglossa; Ampullariidae
Description: tRNA-Trp
Source: RNAcentral
AAGAUUUUAAGUUAAUAAUAGACUAUAGACCUUCAAAGUCUAAAGAGAAUUAAAAGUAUUCAAAUCUUG